GUAAACUGUUUUUAACCCCAAAAACUUUCACACUCAAAUAUUUCUUCCUCUUGCCUCUAGACAUUUUCAAGUUUGCCUUCAUCAACUUCCCUGUGGCUGAAAUAUCUGGUUUUAUUAAAAUGCAGGCGUUUUCUUGAUAUUGUUUAUUAGGUCCAUGCAAAGGGUGAAAAAGCUAGAUAAAUUUGAGAAGAUGAUAUGAUUUUCAAUCCUGGAACUCAUGGACAGUCUGUCUUAGUUGUAAAAUAAUUUAACCUUCGAUUCUUGGUAAUAUAAUUGUCCCAAAAUUUUCAGACUUGCAUACAGGAGCUCUAUACACUACACGAAGGAAAUGAUUCAAGAUGAAAAAAAUCUAUGCAACUGAAAUCCAGAUCUGUAUGAUUCUAUACAGUGUAUAUCAUAAACAGAACUUGAGAUCAAUGGAAUAAAUGCGCAACUUUGUUUUCUUUUUUCAUUAUUAUUGUAUUCUCCAUUUUUUUUAUUUUUAUUUAUUUUUUAUUUUUUAAGGUUUUGGACAAGGCAAUUAACAACCCUGAUUCAAAACAAACAGUUUCAGAGAAAACUUAAAAGGCGCUGUUGGAAACUUGUGUCAUGGUCAAGAACAGCCCAGAGAUCUAUACAUGAUGUUCAAAGGAAUGGAUGACCAUCUUUUGAGCUUGUGUCAUGACCAAGGGGAGCCUAGAGAUCUAUACAUGACAAACAAAGCAGUGUAUCUGACCUAAUUUGUCAGUUUCUCAAAGGAUUUCUCUGAAUAUAACAGCAAAGCCUUCUGCUACCUUCCAUGAGUCGGAAGCUUGAAUUGGCCUCAAAAUGGCCACGAGGAUUCUCGUCUUUUGGGUGCCAGCAACUGGGGAGUUUAUUGGUCCAUUCAAACCUGUAAAAUAUAAUUAUAUUGGUUUUAAGCCAAUGGUUUGCACAGGCAACAAUUAUCAAAAGAAAUUUUUUAUGGGAAAAUCGGAAUUGGUUAUCUUACCCUUCCAACCCUUCAAUUUUCCAUUCCUUGGUUGUAAGCAUCCACCAUUAUGGAAACAGAAAAUUUUGAAACAGCUGUUUGGUGGGAAAUAGAGUAGUGGCAUCAAUUACAACCAGCUAACUUCAUUGUUGGGGGUUGUUCUUCAUGCAUUUGCUUGUCAGGGAGGUUAAAUGAUCUGAUAUGAAGCAGCAGAUAGAGAUCAAUCAAAGAUAUCAAUUAAAUGAAUUAAAAACCCUAACAAUCCUGUAAUGACCCUCUCACAACCCGUGUAAAUAUUGUUGGGUCAAUCCAAUGGACUCCCACGUUUUUAAAACAUGUCUAUAGUACCAGGAUUUUUUUUCUUCUAUCAGUUGUGGGAAACACAUCCCUCCUCAUAUUCAACCUUUUUUUUUUUUUUGAGUUUACACAUUCAUUUAAUACACCAUCUCAUGAGUAUCCUUCUUUGGGAUUACCAAUUGAUUAAAAGUAAUAAAUACAUACAAUAAAGCCCAAACUUGUGACAUUAUUGACCCAAAAGCUUAUUUUUUAAAUAGUGAACCAACAAUAUAUAUAAAGAUGAGGAUCCAAUACAACUCAACUAAUAUUGACCAUAUCAGUUUAAUUUUCAAUAAUUAUAAAACUCAUUUCUAUUUGAGGAUUAUAAAAACUGACCUAAUUGAUUUGAUUUUCACUUCCUUAGUAUACUAACUAAUAAAAACUGAACCAAACCAAUAUUCUAGUUUUAUAUCAUUGGGUAUGUGAAAGCCUUUUUGAUACCACUUGUUGAGCCAAUAAAAGCAUUGAAACCAUUCGUUGGGUCAACGAAAGCUCUAUCUAUGCAAAUAUAUUAAUGAAAUAACAUAAAAAAUAAAGUUAAUCACACACAAAGAUAAACAAGGUUUUAACAUGAUUCAAUUGUCUACCCCCACAUAUAAGAGAUAACAUUUUAUAAUAAAAAUAUUAUGGACAAAAAAAAUUCACUAUUGCUUACCCCCAGAUGAUAAAUAACAUUAUAUAAUAGAAAAUAUUAUGCACAUAAACAAAUUCAACUAUUUGGUCUCGAAACAUUUCACAUUUCUUCACUUUUUAUAUCUCCAUCAUGAACCACAAGCUCUUUUGCUUUGUUAAGUAUCUCUCUCUUUCUUGAAUCUCAAUCUUGAAAUGUGAACCCUCUUACUCCACCAGUUGUCACUCACGCUUCCUCACAUCUCUAUCAAUCUAUAAUCUUCACAAACUCAUAUCUCUCUCAUGAUUUUUCUCCUCAUGACAUAGAUUAUUUAUAGAGGUAUUGCUAUUAAAGAAUGAUUGAAUUGAAUUGGAUCGUUUAAAAGAGAGCGAUAAAAAAAAUCAGAAUCACCAUUACUAUGUUCACGUUCCAUCACCGUUACUCUUUUAUCGCUCUCUUUUAAACUAUUCAUCUACUUCAUUGAGAUCACUAUGUGAUCAAGUUUUUCACUGAUUGCCGAAUUUCACUUCGGGUUCUGGGUGUUGGCUUCUAAGUGCUACCUGCUGUUCAUCGAAGUUGUUUUGGUGGUUCAAUGGAGUCUACAAAAGUCAUCAAGGUUAAAUAUGGGAACACACUAAGGCGUUUUAAUGCAUGCGUUGACGAAAAUGGACAACUGGAUCUUGAUAUCAAAGGAUUAAGAGCAAAAGUCAUCGCUCUCUUUAAUCUUGUGCCUGAUGCUGAAUCUUACACUAACGUAUAUUGAUGAAGAUGGUGAUGUGCAGUCAUCUUAUGGUGUAUUCACGGGCACUAUUCCUCGGACUUCCCAAGAAGAGGCUGCCCAGCAGUAUGCAGUGCCAACCCAGUACCAGGUUAAACCGGACACCUUAGUGAAUAAACCAAUUAAUAGUGAUGUCCCUCUAUUUGGAGGUGUGCCUUUACAAACAUCAGAACGCCUGGUUCAGGAAUCCCCAAGAGACUAUUCUGGUAAACUUCCUGGUGUUGUUCCUAAGGAAGAUACUGCAGAGUCUUGCAUUUCAUUUGAUCAUAUGCGUCCAAUUGAUGAGAGGAUGGAAAAUCUAAGGGUAGGCCCUGCUGAAAAUUUUGUUAAUAGUGAGCAGAGUAAAUCAUCUACUAAUAAACCUAGAAAGGAGGACGAUCAUACAGGGGAUUUGCCUUCUACUCUUCAAGCCAGUUCUGCAACCAUCCCUGGUGACAAGUGUAGCUCAUCUUAGAAUUCCAAUCCAUGCCAUGGUCCAACUAACUGUUUGGUUCCUGAGGGUGAUGAUCUGCCUGCAACAGAAGUGAAGCAACUCCUAAUAUUUGCUGGUUCUGAUGCAGCAAGAAACUUCUCAUGGAGUCAUCCUUGUGACACUACUGAUGAGGAGCUCACAUCAGUUGUAAUGGAAAACUGUCAACAUUCAGAGUUUCAGCAUGGUUCUGAAAGGCUAUUUUCUACCAGAAAAGUAAUUUCUCCAACUUCUCAGGAAAGGCUAUGUCGGGCUAUGAAUUCCACCGACUUGUGUGAUAACCUGGAACCAUACAAAUGUAAAAUUAAGUUACGCUUUGCAAAACGGACUGAGGGCAGGACUUCAUCAGCAGAACCAAAUUUUGUGAGAGAUGAAGUAGAUAUUGGUCCGAGAGGGUGUGAACAAAGCAAUAGAAAUGAAGGCACUGUUAUUUCCAAGCAGAGCAUUAGGAGAAGAAAGAAUGAUAUGAAAUGUUCCCAUCCUAAAGGCAUUCUCAAGAUUCCCCAGCUUUCUCGUGGGCUACCACAUCUUAGCAAUACAUGUACCUCCAGCCAAAGUUAUUCAGAGUGUCGUUGCAUUCUCACAGAGACGGAUGCAUGACAUUGAAUGUCUUGCAACAAAGCUCACGAGAGAGUUGAAAUCCACACACAGGACACAAAAUCAAAACAACAACUCCAUAGCUGCUUGGGCAGCAAACAGAACAAAACGCGAGUCACCUUCGAGCUAUAUAUCCAUGACAUAACUGUCCUGCCCAAAUAGUGCAAAGACAGCUAUCGAAAUUGUGAAUCUCCUUGCUUGCCCCGCCUUUGAUGUGAUGUAGGCAAUGAGACCCAUUAAGAGCCAAUUUGUGUUGAUGAUUAUGAGGAAGAGGCUUUCCUUUUUGACAUGUCAUGAUCAUUAUUAGCAAAUGCUACAUUUGUGUCUACAUUCCCGAAGAUUCUUAGAAGCAAUCUUAUCUUGGGUUAUUCAACUGUGUCAAUUUUCAGUCAGGCUCAGGAAAUUAUGAAUUAAAAAGCUUAGGGUUCGGUCAAGAUUUUGUUUUUGAAGGGUGGUUUGCCAUUGUAGUUGAAAUGGAAGACAUCAAGAAAAAAAAAAAAAGAGUUUGAAAUUAUCCAAAUCAGGGUUUAAACGGACUGAAUUGACAUUUGGCUCAAGUAUUAAAGAAAGAUCAGUGAAUCUCUAGAUUUGCGGCUGAGAUGGCUAAAAGACUUAAAAUUGUGAAAGGCAAAGUAACAGAGUUUCGAAUUAAAGCAUGCCUCAGGUUCCAUGAAAAGGAGUUCAGGUUCCUUCAGCUGGACCUAGAAGCAUUACUCCAGGUUAUGCAGAGUCUUAAACAAGGAACUAGACAAGCAAUUUUUAUGAUAAGAAACAACAGGCAUAAAUGAAAAAUUCAGAGAGAGUGAGCAAUAGUACAUGGAACCUGAUCUGAAACUGAGCCUUAUGUCUCCACUAGAAGCUUCUGUUGAUAAUUCGGGUUGUGAUCCUGAGAAACUAGAAUUGAAUUGAAGCCUCUUUUCAGAUGAAGUGGCACACUGAAACCCAAUGAACAUGGGCUCUGAAACGAAUACAUUCAGUUUCUUUCUAGACAAUCAGCGAUCUGCAGAGUUCUCCCCAUGCAAUUCGUAUCAGUAAUGUAGUCUCAAGUACAUCCCCGGACCUCACUUCAGCAUCGACUAUCUUGCAUGAACAAACUUCAUGAUUCCAAACAAUGGAAUUCAUAAAAUCAACUCAUACAAGAUUAAUUAGGGCUUUGGAAGGGGUCCCGACAUUCACGAUAUUCUCUUCAAUGUUGUUUGCUUGAUAGCUGAUUGAUUGUGCUUCCUCUUUGUGGUACGUGAGAUUAUUUUGCACUUAUUAUUAAGCAACCUUGUUUCCCAUAGAGGUGCUUUAGCUUGCUAUCCAGGUACGCUCCUUCUCACCUAUUUUCAAGAAUUCUAUGGACACGUAUGUUAUUGAUGACUAUAUUCAUACUUGAUGUGAUUCUUAGGUGCUUAGUUGUAUGCUUGAUUUGUUUGAAUAAAACAAAUGUUGUGUGUUAUAUUUCUAUACUAACUUUGAUGUUUUAUAAUAGCGUUUGAGAAACAGUUCAGGUACACACUUUGACUUUCUUUUAUAAUCAUGAUUUGACUUUUUGGCUUGACAUGAUAAUUCUGAAAUCACUUUAAACUAUCUAGGUACCUUCAAUCAAUUAAUCAAUUGUCACAUUCUCCUCGACUUAGCUAGUAGAGAUCUCUUUAAGGCUCAGAGGGGUGCUACCUCUUAUAGGUACCUUCCCAAUAGGUAACCUGAUCCCCGAACCUAGACUCGUGUUUUUUUAAAGACGCGUUUUUCCAAAAACUAUGGAGUCACUUCUUUAGGGUUUUCUUUUUUAUUUUAUUUUCCUUUUAAAAUAAAAUAAAAUAAGUGGCGACUUCGACUUUUCCAAAACUAAUUUUUCACAAAUAAAAAAACGAGUCUUGUCAACGAGUGAGGAUGGAUGUGAAAAAUGAGGGUCCACAACUACCUUAGACCCAAACGAACUAUCCACUUAGUUUUAUGUCCUUCUUUUAAACGGCGAUGAACAUAGACGAUUAUAGGGGAUGAAACGACAAUGAGGGGCCCACACAUUUCCCUUCCAUUUCCUUGUUUGGCUACCUGGAAAAAGGCCAAAAAAAUGUCUAGACUCUAGACCAUGGAUUAGAUCCAAAACCAUUGAUUGGUUUCGUCUAGACCAUGAAUUGGUAUAUUUUUUCCAUUUGGCUUUCCUUGAAAACCCUUUUUUAUUUUAAUUAAUAAUAUUUAAUGAUGAAUAUCUUAGUUUUGUAAAAAUGAUAACAUAUGUUGAUAAGAAUUACGUUUACGAGUAUUUUAAAAAUAUAUUUAUUAAAAAAAAAAAUAUAUAGCUACAUAAAAUUUAAUUCAUGCAUUUUAGUUGAGAAAAAAAAACUUAGAUUUCUUAGUUGUUUAAAAAUCCAAACAAAUCUUGAUUGUAAGUAUCAAAGUCAUAUUUGAAAGUUUUAUCAAAACAUUUUUAAAAAUUGCUUUUACUUUAAAAACUACUUUGAAUAGGUCAUAUAUGAAAAUUGUUACUAAAUGUAACUUUCUAUUCUAAACAAUACAAAAAAAAAAAAAAAAAAAAAAUGAAGUGUUUGGUAAACUUUAAAUAGAAAAUUGUAUUUUGAGAAUUUAUUUUAAAAAUAAAUUUGAGAUGUCUAUUUUUAGUAAUGUUGUUAUUAACAAUUCAAAAUAUCAAUAAUACUUUGAAAUCUUUUUUAUUAUACAUAAGUGUAUGAUACUUUCCUCAAUAAGCCAAAAAAAAUUGUUUUUUCCGUAUAAAAACAAUUGAAAGUUGUUUUUAAAUUCUUGUUUGAAUGGAUGUUUAAGAAACUAAGAAAUCUUUUUUAAGUUCAAUUAAGACCUUUAUGCCCCUUUGACUUAUUUUGUUGAAAUGGUUUAAAUUUUAAAAAAUAAAAAAAUAAAAAAUAAAAAUUCGACUAAAUAUAUUUAACUCUAUAGGUUUGAAAUUUCAUUUAAUACAUCUUCUAUCAUUUUCAUUCCUUAUUUUCCCUCACCUCCAUUUUCAUUCAAAAUAAGAGAGGUGUAUAAUAAAAUUUCAAAUUUAUAAGAGCUAAAUGUAUUUAGCCAAAACUUCAAGGAAGAUAAAUGAAAUUAAACCUAAAAAACAACUUAAUAUAGAAACCAUUAAAAUAUUUCUUAUCAUACAAAUUCUAUUUUAUUUUAUGUAAGAAAAUUUUUCAAGUUUGAGCUAAAGUAAAGAAUAGUAAGUUAUUCCAAACAAGGUUUAUGAAUUAUUCUUAUUAACUAGUUUAUGAAUUAUUCAAAAAAUAACAUAUUCAUAAAAAGUUUUAUAAGUCUACUCUUAUCGUUAUUUAUCUUAAAAGAGUAGGAGUAGGAAUUAUCUAUUAUUAAUCCAUUAUUUUGCAAAACUUAUGUUCAAACUAUCCCCUUUAUUACCACAUAGGAGUCAUGUCAUAAAAAAAAUAUGUUUUCUUGCUAAAUAAAUUAAAAUCUCAAUUGCCAAUCUAGACUUCAUUUUUUAAUUAAAGCCGCAAUUGACAAUUGAGGCUUCAUUUUUAAAUUGAAAUCGCAAUUAGCAAUUGAGACUUCAUUUUUGAAUCGAAACCUCAAUUGCCAAUUAAGGUUUUAGUUAAUUUUUUUUCCUUUAAAAUUUAAUUAAAAAUAUUAAAUUACAAAUUAUUGUUGAAAUUAAAAAUACAUACUUUAAUAAUAAAAAAUUUAUAUAUUUAAACUUAAAGAUCUAGUAUUACUUCAAUAAAAAUAAAUUGAUAUAUAAUCUUAAAACAAUAAAGUUAUAUGACACAUAAAUAAUAUAUAAAAUUAUAAAAUUUAUUAAUUUAAUAUAUUUAAUUUAUUAUAUUUUUAAGAAAUUAAUUUAUUUGUAUUUUGAAAAAUUCAUCUUUAUUGAAAUAAUAGUAUACUAGAUGUUUAAGUUUAAAUAUAUAAUUUUUUUUUAUCUUUAAAGUAUAUAUUAUUAAUUUCAACAAUAAUUUGUAAUUUAAUAUUUUUUAAUUAAAUUUUAAAAUAAAAAAUAACUAAAUCUUUAAUUGAUAAUUAAGGUUUCAGUUCAAAAAUCAAAUCUCAAUUGAGAAUUAAGGUUUCAACUUAAUUUUUUUUUUAAAAUAUAAAUUUUUUAAAUGAGAUGGCUCUAAGCGGCAAUAAAGGUACUAGUUUAAAGUGACUAUUAACGGUUGGUUGCUGUCAUUUCAAAGAUGUGAAAAGAGCUCAAACAAACAAUUUUCCAAAUUAGUUGUAACAAUAAACAACCCAACAUUUUCAAGAAAGGCAUGGAUGCCUCUCUUAUAAGUCAUGUCAUACUUCCAUUGAUAGGAAAAUCUCAAUUACCAAAGUAAGAACCAUAAAAUCAGUUGGAUUGUCUUGAAGAAGAAAGAGUGACCCAAUCCUAUGCAUGAACUAGACAAGGUAGUCCCUUCCUCAAAAUCUUCACUAUCAUCCUCAAGAAUGGUUAUGGUCUUCUCCUUGAAACAUUUGAAGAACGCCAUGCUACACAAAAAAUGAAGGUAGAAAGAGAGAAAUAAAAUAUGGGUCUAAGUUUUUAGAUGCCACUGUGCAUUUAAGUCAGAUCAAUUCGCAUGGGUGAAGACCUUAGCACUCAAGUCGUAUUAAGUGCUGAAAGUACAACACCGUGUAGCAUCAGGGCCAUAACUUAUUUGCAUAGAUACUAAGUAUUCUUCUGGUUUUAAUUAAAUGUUAAAACUUAAAACAUCACUACGCAUUCAAGUCAAGUCAAUUUGCAUAGGUGAAGACUUUAGCACAUAAGUGCCGAAAAUACAACACCACAUAGCAUUAGGGCUAUAACUUGUUUGUAUAGAUACCAAGUAUUAUUCUGGUUUUAAUUAAAUAUUAAAACAUGAAUACCACUAUACGUUCAAAUCAAGCCAAUUUGCAUCGGUGAAGACUUUAACACAUUAGUGCCGAAAAUACGACACUGCUUCGCGUCAAGGCUACGACUUGAUUACACGAGGAUCAAAUUUUAAAUAUUCAUAUUUUUUAUGGAUUUUUAAUUUUAUUAAAAAAUUUCCCUCAAAUAUUCAGGUAAUUUAAAAUUAAUUAAUUAAUUAAUUAAAUUACCUAAAAUCAAAUUCAUUUAUGCAAAUUAUGAAGGUUGACACGUGUUUAAAAAAGUAGUUCUUUUCUUUCUUGAUAAAAAAAAAAGGUUAGCAAAAAAAGAAAUCACGUGUCAUUCAUAUAUAUAUAUAUCCUCUUUGGGUUCACGUGUCAUUCAUUCAUAUAUUUAGAUAUAUAUAUUCAAGAGAUCACGUGAAUGGAUUUCAUAUGUAUAUAUUAAAUCCUCAUCCUUACUUCAAUAUAUAGACAUAUAGCCCAGUGAUGACGUCUCCGAAGGCAACCAACGUUGAGGCUUGUCCCCAUUGACUUCGCCAUACACCCAACAAGCUCCAAUAUCAAUAUAUAUAUAUUAAAAAAAAAAACACUUACAAGUAUGAAGAGGUUCUCAUGGUGAAUUCAAGUUGGGUUUAUCAAGUUGGGUUGAAGAACACCUAAAGAUCGAAAGAGCUCUUUGAAAAAAUUCAAGUCUAGUUUCUCAAUUAUUGUCUCAUUUAUAUAUAAAAAAAAUAUAUAGGAUGACUAAUUGGAAGAUGACAAAAAGUGUAAAGUAAGAAGGAAAACGAAUUAGAAGAGGAUUUCAAAGUGUAAAGUAAGUAAGAAAAUGAAGUGGAGUUUGGAAAAAAGUGGGAAAUAAAUAUUUUUUUUUUUGGAAAAAAUAGGAAACUUCCUAUUAAAAUAUUUCUUUGAAAAAAAAAUUACUUCAAGACUCACCCCAUGCAUAUGACGAUGCAUGUAUGUGAUAUGUCUUGAAGUUGGGCCAUUUGUAAACAUAAAAAAUUAGUGGAUUAAAUUACCACUAAUUUGGUUUUCAAAAUGAAUAAUAAAAAAAGAAGAUAUCCUCUUAUGGAUAAGUUUCCUAAUUUCGAACUAUAAAAAGAAUAAUAAUAAUAAUAAUAAUAAGAAAAUUAUUAUUAUUAUUAUUAUUAUUAUUAUCUUGUUGGUAAAACCUCCCGGAGGAAAAAAUUUGCUAAAAUCAAUGAACUAAAUUCCUUGAAUUAAGCAACUAAAAUUUGGGAAUUUGAAAAUCAAAUUCCCUAUCUUUACCUAUAAAUAGAUGUGUCUUCUAUCAAUAAAAGGGGGAGAAAUUUAGAAAUCAGAAAAAAUCCAGAAAGGAAAAUCUUAAGGAGAAAAUCAAAAAAUCCAAAGGCGAUUUUGUGCAGGAAAAGACAACAAAAGAAAAAGUUUCAUCAAAUCUCCCUAAUUUCCCUACAAGUUCAGUAAACGGCAAAAGAAUUGUGUGGACCUCGUAUUUCACCUUAUGCUUUUCCCCUCGAUGACGAGCUCGAUUUUUAUUUUUGAGAAAAUGAUUUAUUGGUUAAGAAAAUGAUUUGGAGUCGCCACUUAUUUUUGUUUUAUUUUUAAAGGGUAAACAAAAUAAGAAAGAAAAACCCUAAGUGUGACUUCUUAUUUUUGGAAAAGGUAGCCUGUGAAAAACCGGAUUGGGUUCGAGGGUCAGGUUACUUAUCGGGAAGGUAUGGUAAAGACCGUAGCACCCCUCUAAGUCCCUAAAGUCGGGUCUCUACUAAUAAAAUAAAGCAAUCAUGACAAUUGAUGAGGGAAUCAAUGAAUACUCAGAGUGAUCAUGCACAUGUGAGAAUCUAAACAUGCAUAUAGAAAGACCAAAAAGGGAGUGGAUGCGUACUUGGGUGACAAGCCACAAAUGUGCUAUCAAGAAAUAGGGUUAGCGCAUAGUAAUGAACAUGAAAUAUGUCACUCAUAUCACCAAACAAGAUGAGGAACCACCAAUAGCACAUAUGACACUUCAUUCAAAAUUCAUUCUUAUUUUAAAGAAAAUUUUAUUUCAUGUUGGACCCCUACCAAAGCCCGGUUUAUCUUGCAUGAAUUAAUCCCACAAAUUCCAUUUUUUUGGAAUUAUGAAAAUUCAUUCUUGCUUAUGUAAAAUCAAGAGAAACAGAAUAUCAUUUGAAAACCAAAGUGAAAUUAAAACUAUCCGAGAAAAAAUUGGUUUUUUGAAAAUUAUUUGAAAAUUGGAGUCUCGAAAAUUAUUUGAAAAUUGAAUUUUUUUAAAUAAAAUAAUAAUAAUAAUAAUAAUAAUAAUAAUGAUAAUAAAAAAUAAAUGUGAAAAUUGGAAUUUUGGAAAUUAGAAAUUGGAAAAUUGGAAUUUCAAAAAUUUGGAAUUAAAGUUGGAAAUCGGAAUUUUUGAAGAAGUAUUUAAAAAUGGAAUUUUAAAAAUAAAUACAUAAAUAAAAUAAAAUAAUAAUGAUUAAAUGAAUAAAUGUGAAGAUUGAAAUUUUGGAAAAUUAUUGGAAAAUGAGAAUUUUAAAAUUUUAAUUUGGAAAUUGGAAUCUUAAAAAAAAUAUCUUGAAAAUGGAAUUUCGAAAAAUUAAAUUUUGAAAGUUAUUUGGAGAUGGAAGUUUGUUUCGGAAAAUUAAAAUUGAUACAAAAAAUAAAUAAAAUAAUAAUGAUAAUAAUAAUAAUAAAAUGAAGAAUUAAACGUGAAUGAAAGUGGAUUGGAAGAGUGGAGAAAAUAGUGGGAGAGAGAAAGAAUGAAUAAAUAACUAAAAAGUUGGUUUGAUGGUGAAAUGGGUGGAAGCUAUCAAACCCAUUAUUUUCUUUCUUUAAUAAGUUAGCAACUGGCAUAGUUAACUCAUAGAUAAAGCCUUUUUUUUUUUUUUUAUUAUAGCAUGUGCUUUCGUCCUCAAAAUAAGGGAACUGCAAUACACCUAAACAAAAGCUGCUAGUGUUGAAACCCUCAUUGGAAGACGAAGACGAAGACCUUUCUCGUGUGAUACUUUCAUCUGGCAAAAUCCUGGGAAACCAUGCCGGAGGCGGGGACAGAGCGUCAGUCAUCUACCGACGUAAAGGGUGCUAACAUGCGCCGGAGGGGGGCAUGCUAAAGAGAAGAGAACAAGGGUGGUGAUGACUGAUGAGGGGACGGUGUGGGUUUAAGGAGAAAUGAUAGGAUAGAGACAUUCAGACACCACGCAAUAAAACUGGACCAGAUUCAUAUUAUUUCUCCCAACCGAAACCCAGAAACAAUAAAUGGAUAUAUAGUCAUAGCAAAUCCAGUGGAUGCUCAAAAAUCAACAAAAAUACCCAUAUGAUAUCCACACAGAAAUAGCUAAAUAACAGCUAAAUAACGCUCAACAAUGAAUAGAGGAGAACAAAUAGCAAGAGAAAUAAUAGGGAUGGAUAAGAAACAUACCUGGAAAUUUCUCUCUCCAGUAGCAGCUUCUCCUCAAGCUCCAAGAAAAAAGGAAUCUCCUCAUAAAACCUCUUUUUUCAUAAAAACUCUUUCUCCGGUAGCUUUCUACCCAAGCCAAGGAAUCCCUCCUAAGUUAGAGAACCUUCCCCCCUAAAAUAUCUCCAAAAACCUCGCCCCCAAAAAGCACACUCUGCUUAGAAUAUCCUUUCCUACAGCUCACUAACGACCUCAAUGUAAAACGAACGUUGCCCUCAAUAUUCUCUCCAGGUGCCUCCAUAUUAUUUGCUCUUCAAUUCCACUAUCUGAUAUUCACUGGCAGCCAACCAUGGGUCGACACGUGGUCUCCCAAGGUUCCUCCACAUGGCAAGCUAGACAGCUGCAAGAAUGACCCAAAAUGGGGUCUACAAAUAUGCCCAUCUUUGGUAGAGCUCACGAGUGUAAGGAAUAUGAACACUGAAGUGAAAAGCAAGUGUGAAUAGUGAGUGGAAUGAAGUGAACUCUACCGAAGAACUAAGGAGACCCCCUUAGGGACACUAGUGAAAUGCAAAAUCACUCAGGCUAGUAGAUGAACACAAAGGCUCUAAUCCUAAAAGAAAAGGAUGUCUCAAAAUGCCUCUGAAACCACACUAAGGACCCAAGCUCCCUUUAAGACGUCUCCAAAAGUGACUCGAGGAUCAAUAUCAAAGAUGAGUAACGGUUAAACCACUCUGAAGUACAAGAAUAAAUGCGUCCAAAUGAGACUCCUAUACAUGUACUGCAUGAGAAUGCUAGGCAUAGGGUGCCCAACAACAUGACCGAAAUAUGUGCCGUGAACUCAAAGGAUUGCGUCAUGUGUAGUGGAAGGGGAAAUCUGGAAGAACAAUGAUGAAUAAGCAUAAGCACAGGGUAACGAGGUGAGGAGAAUGAGAACAAGUGCAAAACCAUGAAUGUCAGAUGUGCAAUGCCAGUGAAUAUGAAUACCAAGAACUGUGACUUUGAAUGAUACAACUGAGGAGAAAUGACUCUGAACGUCAAAAACACGUAAAGAUGGUGACUUAAAAUCAAACAAGACUCAACUCAAUCUGACAAAACAAUGACUGAUCGAUAUAGGUGCAGCCCCAACUCAAAUUGACACAACGAAUAACCGAUCGAUAUAGGUACGGUCCCAACUCAAAAACUCAAACCCAAAUUGAUAGGAAGACGACCGAUCAAUAUAAGUGCGGCCUGAUUCAAACUGAACACAAACUGACAAGGAAAUGAUAGGAAGAUGGCUGAUCGAUAUGGGUGUGGCCUUGAAAACUCAAACUAACACAGAAAAUGAUCGAUCGAUAUAGGUGUGGUCUUGAAAACUCAAACUGACACGGAAAAUGAUAGGAAGACGGCCGAUCGACAUAGGUACGGCCUCGAAAACUUAAACUAACACAGAAAAUGACCGAUCGAUAUAAGUGCGGUCCCGACUCAAACUAAACACAAACUGACAAGGAAAUGAUAGGAAGAUGGUCGAUCGAUAUGGGUGUGGCCCCAAAACGCAAACUCAAAUUGACAAGAUGAUGACCGAUCGAUAUAGGUGCAGUCCAAAAAAAAAAAACUCAAACUCAAACUGAUAUGAAGAUGACCAAUCGAUAUAGGUGCGGUCCCAAAAACUCAAACUAACACAGAAAAUGAUAAGAAUAUGGCAGAUCGAUAUGGGUGCGGUCCCACAACACAAACUCAAAUUGAUAAGAUGAUGACCGAUCGAUAUAGGUGCGGUCCAAAAAAAAAAAAAACUCAAACUCAAACUGAUAUGAAGAUGACCGAUCGAUAUAGGUGCGGUCCUAAAAACUCAAACUAACACAAAAAUGAUAGGAAUAUGGCCGAUUGAUAUGAGUGUGGCCCCACAACACAAACUGACAAGAUGAUGAUCGAUCGAUAUAGGUGCGGUCCCGACUCAAACCCAAACACGAACUGAUAGAAAUAUGGCUGAUCAAUAUAUGUGCGGCCCCAAAACGCAAACUCAAAUUGACAAAAUGAUGACUAAUCGAUAUAGGUGCGAUCCCGAUUCAAACUCAAACUCAAACACAAACUGACAAGAUGAUGACUGAUCGAUAUAGGUGCGGUCUUGACUUAGACUCAAACAGACAAGAUGAUGGCCAAUCGAUAUAGGUGCGGCCUAGACUCAAACUCAAACAGACAAAACGAUGAAUGAGUGAUCGAUAUAGGUGCGACCCUGACUUAAACUCAAACAGACAAAACGAUGAGUGACCGAUCGAUAUAGGUGCUGUCCCAUAAACUAAACUGACAUGACAAGGAGAUGACCGAUCGAUAUAGGUGCAACCCCAAAUUUUAAUUGAUAAGACAAUGACCAAUCGAUAUAGGUGUGGUCCCAAGAAACUAAAUUGACAAGACAAUGAGAUGGCCGAUCGAUAUAGGUGUGGCCCCAAACUUUGACUGAUAAGACAAUGACUAAUUGAUAUAGGUGCGGUCCCAUAAACUAAAUUGAACACGAAAAGUGAUAGCAAGAUGACCGAUCGAUAUAGGUGCGACCCCGACUCAAACUAAACUGAAACUGACAAGAUGAAUGAAUGACCUGAUCAAAUGGUCCAAAGCCAAAUGAUAACCCAGAUAACGAUGCAAGCAAACUCGGUCGAAGGGGAUAUGCCCCAGUAUGACAACUCAUGAGGAUCGACAACUAGGUCAAAAGAUAAUGAAGCCUGUGAAAGGUCCGAUGAUCCUAGGGAAGGAAGGUAUGCCCCGGUAUGCAACUCGAGGGAGUCAACAACUAGAUCGAAAAGUAAAUGAAGCAUGUGGAAGGUCCGAUGCUCUCGGAGAAGGGGGUAUGCCCCAGUAUGACCACUCGGAGGGGUAAAAAACUAGAUCAAGAAGUGAAUGAAACCUAGGGAAGGUCUGAUGAUCCUAGGGAAGGGGGGUGUGCCCAGUAUAUGACAAUGAACAAAUUGGGAUACACAAUGUCUCAAAACUACUGUGCUAUAAAAUAUGCUCAAUCAUCAUGUAAUGAAAAUGUCCAACCUUAUAUAAGUAAUGCCAAAUAGGACCAUGUAUCGUGAUACCAUGUCUACAAAACAAAACUAACUAAUGGAUAAGGACAAUGAUGACCAGUGCUCAAAACCCAAGGAGUAAGCAAAUCAACACUCAACAUGCUAACUGUCAAAAUGAAAACAUCAUCACUAAUAAAUCAACAAUCUGUCAGGUCCUGCCAUCAUGGAAGAUGUUGAACCUAAAGUCCGAAAGAUGCAUGAAAGCACAACCAAGGCGAUCGAAGACGGAUCUACAUCUCUUCCUAAUCGAGAUAGGGGUGAGGUCAUGUGUCAUGAUGGGAUGUGUAGGAUAAAAAAAGGUGAUGAUCAAGCUCUGGUAUGAUAGAAGGCAUGAGAGUAUCUAGAGUGAAAUGUCUGAUUACGAGAUGAAAUGUAUGUAAGUAUCCGAGAUCAUCCAAGUAUGCCGAGAAGACUAGACCCAAGGCGCCAAUAGCUACAUAAUCCAUUGAAACCUUCAACCACAAACAGAAAAUCAAGUCUCGAUGUCAAAACCUCCAACAAAGUGGCUAUGCCCCAGUAUGCAAUGAGGACAACAUGAAAUAAUCUAAUGAUCUCCAUACCACUCGUCAGAUACUCCAACAUCAAGAAUCAAUAUGAUCUCUCUCCAAAAGAUGGAUAUGCCCCAGUGUACAGGAUCCAAUAGGGUGACUAUGCUCCAAUGAAAAAUACUCUCCAUCUCGUCUAAACCCCAGUGUAAAGCAGUGCAUCCAAGUCAACAACUGCUAAAAAGGACCACGCGUAGUGCACAUCAAUAAAUCAAUCGAUCUCUACUCCUGAUGCCAAAAAUGGAAACAUCUCAUCAUAGUCCAUAUGAAUCAAAAUCCUCGAGCUUUAUGAGUACAAAUGAACUGGCUAUGCCCUAGUAUAAACCAUCUGAAGUGACUAUGCUCCAAGAUAAAUCAAAGUCCAUCACCGAUGAGAGGGCUAUGCCUCAAAAUAAAUCGUCAUCUCAAAAAUCAACCAUCAAUGAGUAGAGUGUGUCCCAAUGCAGGGUAUUGAGUAGAGUGAUUGUAUAUCCAAUAAAAGGGCUCUCUGAAGUGGCUAUGCCCAAGUGUAGGGUCACCCCACAACUCCUAAUCCAUCAUAAUCCAAGUGAAGAAGCAAACUAGCUAUGCCACAAUGCAAGGUAUCAUCUCGAAAGAAAACGUCAUCGAUGAGUGGUGUAUGCCCCAGUGUAGAUAACGUCGCAUUUGAAAAUCCAUCACUGAUAAGGGGAGUAUGCUCCAGUGUAAUCCAUAUCAUAGCUCCUCAUCUAUCAUGCUCUAAGAAAUGAUCCCUAACCAAACUUGAGUAUUGCCCACGUGUGAACUAUCAAACACAAUGUGAAGUAAUGGCCUCAGGAUGGUCUUCAGACACGGGACAUAACGUAGGCCAAGGUAAUAGGGUGGAAGAAAUAAAAGGAAACUAGGCUCAAAGAUCCCAAUGAUAUAAUCCACAUAUCCCUCAUGCAUGAGAUGCAAUGCGUAGAAAACGUCAUGAGUCCCGGACCUAGGGGUCCCCACGCGAAAAAUAAUGAUAAAUGAAUGGUCACAUCGAAUAAGCAAGAAUAAAGUGUGGAUGCUGAACCCAUGUCAAACAUCAAGCAGGAUGAGAAAAUGAUGAAAUCAGAUGAGGUAGAGUGAAAUGGAUGAAUAAGAUAAGGAUAGGAGAAGACAAAAAGAUAGGAAAGUGAGUGAUGGUCAACCUGCAUCAAAGCAUGGAAAGUAGUCACAUCCGAAAUAGAUGAGAUGAUGGAUAGAGUCAGGAUCUAGAGAUACUGAAGAAAGGUCGCUCGCCUCUCUCACAAAAAAUCGAAUGGGCGACUCAUACUCUCACAAAAAAUAUACAUCAAUAUGAAUCUCAGAAAGAAGCUCUCAUAUGAACUCUUUCUAACACAUGAACUCAAUGAAGCAAACUGGCACGUCCAUACACAUGCUUAAUGGAGAAUGAUAAAAUGAACAAUGCACUAUCUUUUUUUUUUUUUUUUUUGCGCAUACUCCAAUCAAUAAUGAAUGAUCUCCCAUGAAAUACAUAGCCAAAUGAAUAAACUCUCCCCAUGUACUGAUGUAACAUGAAUCCUCACUAACAAGACAACCUCUCAAAAUAAGAUCUCUGAACCACUGCUCAUAAGGCGAACAAGGGAGGAACGUGACAAUCCUCCAUGCAGUGACGUGUGAGAAACUACCACUCAAGGCGAAACAAGGAUAAUGUCGAGUAAGCAAUGAUGAAAGAAAAGACAAAUAACAAAUAUCACAAGUGGUGAUAUGUGAUAUUGGAAAAUAGUGAUGAAAUGAUGUCCAAGUGGAAAAUAUCACAAUGAAGAGUGAGGAAUGAGGCUUGAAUAUACAUGUCAGGUCUGGAACUCAUGACGUAUCCAAUCAUAGCAUGCAAGCACUAUAGGGUUCCCAACCCGGUGUAAUAGGUAAAUGAGGUGAUGAAAGAAAAGGCUAUAUGCUCGUGUGAGGCUCAAAGGGCUAGCAACGAGUAACUCUAUAUGUGAGGAUGAUAGGGUAAAUGAGCUCAUGAAAUGAUGGCCACCCAUCCUAUGACCACAACCUCGAACAUCGUGCUUUCAAGAUCUCACAUGGCCAAUACUAAAGAUUGACAUUCGUCCAACAAAGUCAUGUUAACUCAUCUGAAAUCAUGUGAAAGCUCUCACUGAUGAUCUGUGAUAACCAUCAAUGUUCUCCGACAAUCAUCUCACUCUAUCAUCAUAAUCCACUCACCAUCGUCUCAUAAAAUCACCAUCUCUAAUCAUCCUAACCCUCUGAAGUCAUGUGCAAUGGCUCAAAUCUAGACGCUCCAUGAUAACCCCUCUGUCUCAACAAUAUCAUUAAGCAGUCAAGCCAAUCUCUCAUCGUGAUCCAUCUAUCAUCAUGCGAAGCUCAUCUUUGGUCAAACCAACUCAGACACUACCUGGUCAGAUCAAGGAAAUGAUGGAAAGGAAAGACAAUGGUACUGUAGCAUGGUAAGGCGAACAAGGAUAGUAAAGUCAUACGGUGGUACCAAAGGGCGGUGUCAUGUCAAGCUCAAAAUGGGUAGGUCAUCAAGUCCACAGAGUCAGGGUAUGGAUAUGGAUAUGGUACUGCUCUGAUCAGAAGGUGAAAUGAGUCACAGUCUCGAACUCCCUAGGUCGAUCUCCUGAUCCUAGGUUAAAAGGCUCAAUAUCCUCCAUGAUAGGUCAAGCCAGAGUGAUCAUGAUGUAUAAGUGAAAAGAUGUCUCAUAUCGAAAGCAUAAGACACAUCAACACAAGAUAUGUAAAGCACACUCACGAGAAAAAUGCCACAUACUCCGAUAAAAGAUCAUAUCACUAAAUGAACCAAUGAGUACAUCAUGUAUGAAACGAAAAAUGACUACCAAUGACUGGACUCUCAACAUGAACUAAAAACAACGACUCUAAACCAAACUAGACUAAACAAAAACAACUUUGAUGAACCCAAAACUAGACUCGACAAAAUGGAAAUGACUCUGAUGAUGACCAUAAUAAAAAAUGAAAAGCACUAUGAGCUGAACUACUACCAAAUGAUGUACCCAAUGUCGACUGAUCCAAGUCCUCAACCCGGGAUGUCCUAAAAUACCAUGUGACAAUCAAUACCAUCAACAUCCUAAUCAAUCUACUGAAGACUAAGAGGAGGAGGAACUGCAUGUGUAGAAUGCGUAGGUAGAGGAUUGGUGGUCACACUUAACCCAGCCAAGUUGACCAACCCUGAAUCGAUCGAGUCUUGUAUCGCAUGAUGGGGUGCCGAACAACGCUCAGUAUCGUGCCCCUGCAUCUGAUGAUAUAAGCAAUGCUCAUGGGAGCAAAAAUGUGGAGGAAUAGGAUGUGGCAAAGGGCGUGGCUCCAAAGGAACGAUCAAACCACCAUCUCUGAGCUUUUCAAAAGCUCUAGUUAAGGUCAUGCCCCAGGGAGUGAACUGUCUCAUGGGCCUCUGUGCAUAUGGUCUAGGUGGCGGGUGAGUAGUGGCUCUCAGAUGUGAUGGUUGUGGCUGCAUGUUGGCUUAUGCAAUGUAAGGCUCCUGAACAUACAUUAGUUGAUACUGAUACUGCGGAUGAGAUAAAUGAGCUCUGAUUAGAGGAGGUCUGUAAGGUGAGUGGUGGUGCGGGCCUCUGAUACUGAUAACUAAUAGCGCCAACCUCUCCAGAUCUACUAAAUGAUCCAAUCGGCUUCUUCCCCUUACUGUCAGGGGAAGGAGUAGUAUCUGUCCAUAAUCCUUGAGCGAUGACCUCCUCAACACUAAAAGCUGCAUGAACUAGACUCUUAAGAUCCUAAAAUGGGAUGCCCACAAGACAUCUCGCGAACCUCGGUUGUAGGUUCCGAAGAACCAUGUCAAUCUGAUCUUGCUCCUUAGGCCGGUCUAUCAUACCAGCCACCUUUGCCCUCCAAUGAGUGACAAAGGAAGAAAUAGACUCAUCUGGCCUUUGCCUGGUGGCCUACAACUCUCGUCAAGAUACAUCAAUAUCGGCACUAAAAGCGAACUGAGUCAGGAACUCAUGAGCCACAUCCUCCCAGGUGCGAAGUCUCGAAGGCUCAACUGAAGCAAACCAUUUUUGAGCUACUCCACUAAGUGACAUGGGAAAGAGGGCCACCAACUGUGCAUCAUCUAUCCCAUGUGCUCUCAUGACUGUGCUGUAUAAUCUCAAAUGGAUCUUGGGACAACCAAUCCCACUAUAACGCUCAAUGUCUGGCAUGCGAAACUUGGUGGGCAAGCUAGCCGCCGAUAUACCAUCCCUAUCAUCCCAAGUCAAACCUCCAUCUUGUAAUCUGAUUUGUCUCAUCCUAGACUCAAGCCUCUCAACCCUGGUCUCCUGCUUAGCCAAUCUAGUAUCCUUAAUAGUAGGAACCAUGGGAGGCGGCACCGUGACAGUAGGUGGUGGAAUGGUCUCAUAAUGAUCUGCCAGAUGGAAUGGAGUACCAAGUGAAACCCUAGGUGGAAGAGCAUGUGCUGUCUGAGAUGCAUGAGGAACCGUCUCAUUAGUGACCAUGCCAACUGGAUGGGGAUCCUGAUGAGAACUCUCUAUCUGAUCCAACCGUCUACUGACUCCGACCAUGAACUCCUAAAUAGAAGCAAGUGUGGAAGCUAACUCGUCCGACAUCUCAACUGAACUGUCUGAACUCUGAUGUGAAUCUGAUCAGAUCAAUCGUCCUCCAACUCUCCUCCAAGAAUGUGACUCCAGCUCAAUCGACUCCUAAACUGACUCCCUACAAUGCAAACAAAAUGGAUGAAGGACACGAGAUAGAAUUCUAAAAGACGACAAUACAACAUGCAAGCACAUGGUCCUAAGAUAGCAAUCUAAAAUCUGGAUGUAUGACGAGAACUCUAGAGUCAUAAAGGUGUCCACUGCGAGACGACAACAAAUGUGACUAGAUAAUUCCUAUCAAUAAUCCAAGAUGAAAGAGGUGUGAAAAACACGCUAUCAUGAGAUCAAUACUCUAUCUAUAACCACAUAUCAUUGACUCAACCUUCAACUCAAGUUCCAUAAGAGAAAAAUAAUAAGGUGAUCAAGGUAACUCUCUCGAAAAAAGUGUGAAUGCGAAAAUGUGCCUUUCACUUUUCUGUAAUGAAAAUAUGAGCGUCGAGUCGAAAAUUAAAUCAAGAAUCAAACAAAGAAUGGUGUUGAGGUCGUGACAGGUGUACAGUGUAAAAAGAUGAUCAAUGAAUAUAUCUCGAAGCAUCCAGCAACUGACAACAAAGUGAAAGGGUGUGUUGAGCCAAGAAAUGAGAACGAAAGCCCUGGGAAGAAAACAUGACAAACUCAUCGAGUGAAAAGCAUAAUCCAAAGUGACAUGACGAAAAGUGAUCCAACCGAUACUCAACUCAUACCAAUCUCUGAGCACUCUCAAAUGGAAACCCGAAAGAGAAAACACUAAAUCUAGGUGGUGACUAAAGUGGCUUUGAAGGCUCUCAGAUGCACCCACGUGUGAGGAAGGAAUCCUAAUCAAAGGAUCUAAGCUCAUCCUAUAAGGUCAAGGUGGCCCUAAAAGAAAAUGGGUAGACUUUAAAAGGUCCCUAGCAGAAGCGAUCGUACCCUCUGGCGGUACGCAACCCUCUGCACGCCUCCAAAGAGAUGGAGCGCUUCCAUGCAAGGUGGUCAUCCUCCACACAUGCACUACCUUGCAUCCUUGGGGGCUCCUAUGGUGAAACCUCUCCUAAUGGUUGGCGUAUCUCACAACUCUGACCACUCAUCAACGAUCUAAGGUGCAUAGUGAGUGGUGCGGGUGCAUCCGAAAAAUCCUAUGAAACUAAAAGAGAACACACUGACCACACAAAUAUCCUGAAAUCUAGCUCUGGGCUAUACAAAUCUUCAAAGUUUGGACUCCAAUCAGCAUCAAUAUGUCGACCACCUCCAGAAUGCUUCCAAACAUAGAUAUAGCCCAUCGCUAGACCCUCUAAUCACUAGCUCAGUCGAAGAGCAAAGAAAACAACAAGUCUCAUAUCAAAUAUGAGACCCUAGAAAACAAGGUCGACUGAGACUAGGGACUUGGAGACAAGGGGAUAGGUGUGUGUCCCACAUAGACAAGUAACUCAUGCAAUCACACAGAAUGAGAGGAGUCAUGCAACAAACAUCAUGCAAAAUAGGUAUAUAUCAUCCAAAUCUACACACAAACUAAUCGAGAAGAAUAUCUGGCAAAUGAUAGUAUGCUCCUUGAUAAUCAAGAUAAUAUAUAACUGAGAGAAUCAAUCAUGUCAAAUCAAAUGAUAUACAAUGGUGAGUCUAUACAUGUGAGGUAAUAAAAACAAACAUGGCAAAAUCAGAGUCACUAUGCUAAGCAAGGUAAGAUGAUCAAUCAACAUAAUCAACAUAACAAUGUCUCAAACAAAUAUAGCAAUAAAGCACGGGAAAAAUCGCCACAAUCGGAAUCCUCAAUCAAGAUAAUCAAUCAUCAUAAUUAGCAUGUCCAUGUCCCAAAUGAAUACAAUAACCAAACAUGCAUCCAAUGAUAUCAAGAACUCUCAAUGUGCAAUCAAGAGAUAGGUAUCCACUGAUCGACCAAUCAAACGCCACAUUUGCUUCAUCUUAAGUUCAAGCUUGACCCUCUAGUGAUCCCUAGUGGAGUCGCCAUUUUGUGGACCCCGCAUUUUGGCUCAUGUGUUUUCCCUCGAUGGUGAGCUCGAUUUUUAUUUUUGAGAAAAUGAUUUAUUGGUUAAGAAAAUGACUUGGAGUCGCCAAUUAUUUUUGUUUUAUUUUUAAAGGGUAAACAAAAUAAGAAAGAAAAACCCUAAGUGUGACUCCUUAUUUUUGAAAAAGGUGGUCUGUGAAAAAUCGGAUCGGGUUUGGGGGUCAAGUUACUUAUCGGGAAGGUACGGUAAAGAUCGUAGCACCCCUUUAAGUCCCUAAAGUCGGGUCUUUACUAAUAAAAUGAAGCAAUCAUGACAAUUGAUGAGGGAAUCAAUGAAUACUCAAAGUGAUCAUGCACAUGUGAGAAUCUAAACUUGCAUAUAGAAAGACCAGAAAGGGAGUGGAUGCGUACCUGGGUGACAAGCCACAAAUGUGCUAUCAAGAAAUAGGGUUAGCGCAUAGUAAUGAACAUGAAAUAUGUCACUCAUAUCACCAAACAAGAUGAGGAACCACCAAUAACACAUAUGACACUUCAUUCAAAAUUCAUUCUUAUUUUAAAGAAAAUUUUAUUUCAUGUUGGGCCCCCACCAAAGCCCAGUUUAUCUUGCAUGAAUUAAUCCCACAAAUUCUAUUGUUUUGGAAUUAUGAAAAUUCAUUAUUUCUUAUGUAAAAUCAAGUGAAACAGAAUAUCAUUUGAAAACCAAAGUGGAAUUAAAACUGUGCGAGAGAAAAUUGGUUUUUUGAAAAUUAUUUGAAAAUUGGAGUCUCGAAAAUUAUUUGAAAAUUGGUUUUUUUUUAAAAUAAAAUAAUAAUAAUAAUAAUAAUAAUAAUAAUAAUAAUAAUAAUAAUAAUAAUAAUAAUAAUAAUGAUAACAAAAAAUAAAUGUGAAAAUUGGAAUUUCGGAAAUUGGAAAAUUGGAAUUUUGAAAAUUUGGAAUUAAAUUUGGAAAUCGGAAUUUUUGAAGAAGUAUUUAAAAAUGGAAUUUUAAAAAUAAAUACAUAAAUAAAAUAAAAUAAUAAUGAUUAAAUGAAUAAAUGUGAAGAUUGGAAUUUUGGAAAAUUAUUGGAAAAUGGAAAUUUUAAAAUUUUAAUUUGGAAAUUGGAAUCUUAAAAAAAAAUAUAUUGAGAAUGGAAUUUUGAAAAAGUAAAUUUUGAAAGUUAUUUGGAUAUGGAAGUUUGUUUCGGAAAAUUAAACUUUGAUACAACAAAAAAUAAUAAUAAUAAUGAUAAUAAUAAUAAUAAUAAUAGUAUUAAUAAUAAUAAUAAUAAUAAUAAUAAUAAUAAUAAUAAUAAUAAUAAUAAUAAUAAUAAUAAUAAUAAUAAAAUGAAGAAUUAAACGUGAAUGAAAGUGGAUUGGAAGAGUGGAGAAAAUAGUGGGAAAGAGAAAGAAUGAAUAAAUAAAUAAAAAGUUGGUUUGAUGGUGAAAUGGGUGGAAGCUAUCAAACCCAUUAUUUUCUUUCUUUAAUAGGUUAGCAACUGGCAUAGUCAACUCAUAGAUAAAGCCUUUUUUUUAUUAUAGCCUGUGCUUUCGUCCUCAAAAUAAGGGAACUGCAAUAUACCUAAACAAAAGCUGCUAGCGUUGAAACCCUCAUUGGAAGACGAAGACGAAGAGCUUUCUCGUGUGAUGCUUUCAUCUAGCAAAAUCUUGGGAAACCAUGCCGGAGACGGGAAUAGAGCGUCAGUCAUUGUCCGGCGUAAAGGGUGCUAACAUGCGCAAUAGGGGGGCAUGCUAAAGAAAAGAGAACAAAGGUGGUGAUGACUGAUGAGGGGGCGGUGUGGGUUUAAGGAGAAAUGAUAGGAGAGAGGCAUUCAAACACCACGCAAUAAAACUGGACUAGAUUCAUAUUAUUUUUUCCAACCGAAACCCAAAAACAAUAGAUGGAUAUAUAGUCAUGGCAAAUCCAGUGGAUGCUCAUAAAUCAACAAAAGUAGCCAUAUGAUAUCCACACACAAAUAGCUAAAUAACAGCUAAAUAACGCUCAACAAUGAACAAAGGAGAGCAAAUAGCAAGAGAAAUAAUAGAGAUGGAUAAGAAACAUACCUGGAAAUUUCUCUCUCCAGUAGCAACUUCUCCUCAAGCUCCAAGCAAAAAGGAAUCUCCUUAGAAAACCUCUUUUUUCAUAAAAACUCUCCCUCCGAUAGCUUUCUGCCCAAGCCAAGGAAUCCCCCCCAAGUUAGAGAACCUUCUCCCCCAAAAUAUCUCCAAAAACCUUGCCCCCAAAAAACACCCUCUACCUAGAAUAUCCUUUCCUGCAGCUCACUAACGGCCUCAAUGCCAAACGAACGCUGCCCUCAAUAUUCUCUCCAGGUGCCUCCAUAUUAUUCGCUUUUCAAUUCCACUAUUUGAUAUUGACUGGCAGCUAACCAUGGGUCGACACGUGGUCUCCCAAGGUUCCUCCACGUGGCAAGCUAGGCAGCUGCAAGAAUGACCCAAAAUGGGGUCUAUAAAUUGCUACAUGCGUUUUUUUGCCACUCAACGAGCUCAUUCGGGAAUAAGCCACUUGUAGCCCUCGAUUGAUCUUUGAAAUCAAGAAAACACCAUCGUCAUCUUCCAAAGUGUGAUCAAGAUAGAAGAAUUAGAGAAAAAAAAUAUUUUUUUUGGAAAUAAUAUUAUUUUUGAGAUUUUACACACAAUAUUUUUAAUUUCAAUAAAUAUUUUGUUCGUAUUAUUUUCCUAUUUGUUUUGCUAAUUUUGUAGGACCAAUUUACGAAAUUUGUGCGUACAAUGACAUAUAAAUAAGAUAUAAAAUUACAUAAUUUAUUAAUUUGUUAUAUUUUUAAGAAAUUAAUUUAUUUGUAUUUUGACAAAUUUAUCUUCAUUGAAAUAGUAGUAUACCAAAUCCUUAAGUUUAAAUAUAUAAUUUUUAUAUUAUUAAAGUACAUAUUUUUAAUUUCAACAAUAAUUUAUAAUUUAAUAUUUUUUAAUUAAAUAUUAAAAUAAAAAUAACUAAAUCUUUAAUUGGCAAUUGAGGUUUUAGUUCAAAAAUCAAAUCUUAAUUAAGAACUAAGGUUUCAACUUAAUUUUUUUUUUAAUGAGAUGGCUCUAAGUGGCUAUAAAGGUACUAGUUUAAAGUGACUCUAAGGGUUGGUUGCUUGUCAUUUCAAAGAUGUGAAAAAAGCUAAAACCAACUAUUUUCCAAAUUACUUGUAAAAAUAAACAAUCCAACAUUUUCAAGAAAGGCAUGGAUGCCUCUCUUAUAGUCUUUAUACAACAAAGCUAUUCAAGUUUGGUACACUACUAAUUAUAUAAAUUAUAUUAAUGAAAGAGCAUAAAAAAUAAAAUUAAUCACACAAAGAUAAACAAGGUUUUAACAUGAUUCAAUUGUCUACCCCCACAUAUGAGAGAACAUUUUAUAAUAAAAAAUAUUAUGGACAAAACAAAUUCAACUAUUGCUUACCCCCACAGAUGAUAAAUAACAUUAUAUAAUAGAAAAUGUUAUGCACAUAAACAAAUUCAACUAUUGGGUCUCGAAACAUUUCACAUUUCUUCACUUUUUAUAUCUCCAUCCUGAACCAUAAGCUCUUUUGCUCUUUUAAGUAUCUCUCACUCUUUCUCGAAUCUCAAUCUUGAACUAUGAUCCCUCUUACUCCACCAAGUGUCACUCACACUUCCUCACAUCUUUAUCAAUCAUCUAUAAUCUUCACAAACUCAUGUCUCUCUCAUAAUUUUUCUCCUCAUGACAUAGAUUAUUUAAAAAUUUGAGACACUUCACGACUUAUAUUUCUUGUGAUCGGUUAUUAUCAAAUUACGCAUAUUGUGUACUUGUAAGCAAAUGGGUCUCAAAUAAGAAAUAAUUCUAACAAUCAAUUGGAAUGAAGGGAAAGAUUAACUUUCAUCCAACCCAUCAUUUAAAAAACUCACAUCCAUUUUGAUUCAAGAAUAAAUAGAAAAUAUUGGUUUGGUCAGGUUCGAAUCAAUUAUUUUUACACCCAGGUACUUAUAGAAAUAAAGAUAGCAUGAGAGAAACUAAAGGAUGAGAGAAUACCUUUGGAGGGGGAGAGAGUGGUCUUUGCCUUAUGAGCUGGUAGGUGUGAAAUAGUAGAAGAAGGCAUACGACUUUAGUUACAGUAAGGUACGGGUAGAGACUUCUGCUUCCAAAACGGUUCAUGUGUUUUCUAGCCAAUGUUUUAAAGUAAGAAAGUCAAAUAUGUUUUAAAGCCAUGGGAUCUCAUUGAGAGUACUAAAGCAUAUAAUAUCUAUAUGAAGGAAGUAGAACAUUAUAAAAUGAUUUCAAAACCACUUCUCAACCUUAGUGUACAAUCCUAUAAGACAUUACGAAGACAUUGUGUUUGCAUAUGGGUAACUGUGAUAUCACACAUUGGUUAAGAAAAAAAAUCUUAAUAUUAUAUAUGUGACACCUCGCUAGAAGGAUAAGGACACCACAAUCCUUUCACAUGUCAAACCUAAGAGCCUAACAUAUAAAUGACCUCAACUAACAAAUCCAUCAUCUACCUAACGAAUAGCUACCUCAAAUUCAUUUAAAACAAUAAUAAAAUCAUUCAAAAGGUUAUGAAUCUCUAAUCCAAAACUAAUUAAAAUAUCUAAACAAUAAAUUCAAUGUGUGAGCAUUUUUGUGUGUUGGCAAUUUCGAUUCAAAAUUCCAAUUGUGUUUCUCCUAGCUCAAUUUCUUCAAAUACUCCAUUAGAUUCUUAUCAUUUCCAAACUAUUAAUGAUUGAAGAUUGCUAAAAGAGAUGAUAAGUAUUUUUUAGGUGAUGGAUGAUAUCAAAUAUUGGUCAACCAAGUUUAAAUAUUUCAUCAUUUUUAUUGAAAAAUGGAAUUGAAGCUUAAGGGUGUUAAAUUUUUUAUUUAUAUCAAUUAGAUCCAUUUUUAAUCAAUUAAUCCAAAGGGUAACAAUUUUUUCUAUACCCAAAUUUUUUUCGAUCAUAUCUGAUCAAUCAAAGUUCAAUCAUAUCUACGAAUCUUCAUUAUUUUCCAAACAAAUCUCAACUAUUUGAUGGGUUUUAAAAUCCUAAUAUUUAAGCCACAUUUCCAAAUUAGGGGAAAACGAUUGUGAGAGAUAAGUGACCUCCCUUGAACUUAAAGUUCUUUACUCAUUUUAGGAGAAUUUGGUUUGAAAGAAAAUUUUAUAGAUGUUCAGUGUAAAAUAAUAUUUUGAAUGAGAAAAUUUCUUUCAAAAUGUAUUGAUUCAAUGUGAGUUUUAUCCUUACUAUCAUAUUUGAGGUAAAACUCAAUUUUUUUCUUAUUUGGAUUUACGAAGUGGAAGAUCAAGUUUGGUGUGGACUCCAAUUAUGCUCCAGAUGAAAAAAAAAAAAGGUAGUUGAAGUUUGAAUGUUCUAAACAAGUGGUCCAGGAGAUGAUUAAAGGCUUAGACUAGAUAAAUCUUUGUACUUUGUUAAUUUUCUUCACAAUAGAUGUUUUUGAUUGCCAGUAGACUCAUAGAUACCAAGACGAGAGUAACUCCAGAUAGAUACCAAAAUGGAUACAGCUGUUUAUCUUGCACAAAGGAAUGUUCAGAUGGGUUUCUAUAUGUGCCCCUUUGAUGAUUAAGUCAAAGAGAGUUGACUUGAGCAAGAAAAUGUUGUUUUGGAAAGGUGGCAACAUACCUUUCUGUGGACAUGGGUGGCUAUUUAUUCUUGCUCAUGUGUAAUGUCUUUUUGGGCUUUUUAAUAGCACCUUAAUUGAGUUUGAUUAUGCAUUAUUGUGGCAAUGAUUGCCAACCCAUAAUGGUGUUUUUGCUUUGAUGAGCCUUAAAUAAUGGUGUCUUAUCCUUGUAACGGCUACAUCAAUCAAGGCUCAUGUCUGGUGCACAAGUAACACUUGAAGGCAAUUUAAUGCUUGGAGGCAAGUCAAACACCAUUCUCAUUGUCCAAUCAUUUGAAAUAGUCUGUCUAUUACCCUACACUCAGACGAACUAUCCAUUCAGUUUUAUGUCCUCCUUUCAAACGGCGAUGAACAUAGACAACUAUAGGGGAUGAAAUGAGAAUGAGGGCCUAAAAAUUUCCCUUCCAUUUCUUUGUUUGGCUACCUAGAAAAAGGAAAUCCAAACAAAUCUUGACUGUAAGUAUCAAAGUCAUAUUUGAAAGUUUUAUCAAAACAUUUUUUUAAAUUGUUUUUACUUUAAAAACUACUUUGAAUAGGUCAAAUAUGAAAAGUGUUGCUAAAUGUAACUUCCUAUUGUAAAAAAUACAAAAAAAUAAAUAAAUAAAUAAAUAAAAAUUGAAGUGUUUGGUUAACUUUAAAUAGAAAAUUGUAUUUUGAGAAUUUAUUUUAAAAAUAAAUUUGAGAUGUCUAUUUUUAGUAAUGUUGUUAUUAACAAUUCAAAAUAUCAAUAAUACUUUGAAAUGUUUUUUUAUUAUACAUAAGUGUGUGAUACUUUCGUCAAUAAGCCAAAAAUAUUUUUUUUCAUGUUUAAAACCAAUUGAAAGUUGUUUUUAAAUUCUUGUUUGGAUGGAUGUUUGAGAAAUUAAGAAAUCUUUCUUAAGUUCAAUUAAGACAUGUAUGCCUCUUUAACUUAUUUUGUUGAAAGAGUUCAAAUAUAAAAAUAAAAAUUUGACUAAAUAUAUUUAACUCUAUAGGUUUGAAAUUUCAUUUAAUACAUUUUCUAUCCUUUUCAUUCCUUAUUUUCACUCACCCCCAUUUUCAUUCAAAAUAAGAGAGGAUGUCAUAAUCCUUAUUAGGAUUAAGGAACAAAACUGAAAUAGGGACAAUGUUGAGAAAGCUAAGGAAUUGUCUUCUAAGGCUAAUGUAGUAGAAGAAAAACCUAAACCCAAAAACAAUAGGUCCAAGAAACAAAACUCUAAGACCAAGCCCAAUGCAUCAAACAAGGUCCAAAACUCAACUAUUAAAAAACAGUGUAAUUGCUUUGUCUGUGGCAAGUUUGGACCCAUGCAACUCAAUGUCGCCACAGGAAGAAAAUUGAGAAGUCCAAUUCAAAGGCAAAUCUGGAAGAGGCAGAUGUGAUCACAACAGUAAUCUCCUCUGAGGUGAGCAUGGUCACCAAUAUAAAGGACUGGGUGGUAGACUCUGGGGCUACCAUGCACAUCUGUGGGAAUAAAAGUGCAUUUACUUCCUAUACCACUGUAAAGGAAGGAGAUGAACAAGUGUUCAUGGGUGAUUCUAGAUCUACUCUAGUGAUUGGCAAAGGGAAAGUUCUCCUCAAGCAAAUAGUUUUAACCAAGAAUGAUGCAUUUGUGGGAAAGGGCUAUUGUCAUCAAGUUUUAUUUAUGUUGAAUGUUUAUGAUAUUAUCAAUAAUAAUGCAUCUUCUUCUUUUUCUUCUUACAUAGUUGAUUCUUGUGAUAUUUCGCAUGGUAGACUAGGACAUGAACUUUUCAUAUAUGAAGAAAAUGGUUAAAUUGAGUUUAAUCCCUAAAUUGUCCUUAGAGAAACCAUAAAAAUGUGAAUCUUGUGUAGAAUCUAAAACCACAAAGAAAUCUUGCAAAUCAGUUGAAAGAGAAUCAGAUCUACUAAGUUUAAUACACAGUGACUUAAGAGACCUAAAAAAUACAAUGACUAGAGAUGGUAAACAAUUCUACAUAACUUUCAUAGAUGACUACUCAAGGUAUACAAGGGUAUAUCUUUUGAGAAACAAAGAUAAAGCAAGAGAUGUUUUCAUCAAGUACAAAAAUGAAGUAGAAAGUCAACAAAGUAAGAAAAUUAAAAGGCUUAGAACUGAUAGAGGAGGAGAGUAUGAGUCCAACCCCUUUAAUUCUUUUUGUGAAGAUCAUAGGAUCAUUCACGAAACUAUUCCUCCUUAUUCCCCUGAGUCUAAUGGAGUAACAGAAAUGAAAAAUAGUACCUUAAAAGAAAUGAUGAAUGCAAUGUUGGUAAGUUCAGGAACACCCUUGAACUUGUAGGGGAAAGCUAUCGUAUCUGCUUAUCUUAUUCAAAAUAGAAUGCCUUACAAGAAAACUAGUAAAACUCCUUAUGAGUUGUGGAAGGGUUAUGCACCUAAUAUAGUAUACCUGAAAGUGUGAGGGUGUUUAGCUAAAGUUCUUAUCCUUGAACCUAAAAAAUGAAAACUAGGUCCUAAAACCUUUGGCAAUGCUGAGAAUAGUGCGGCAUAUAGGUUUCUUGUUACUAAGUAAGAAAAUAGUCUUGUAGAUGUCAAUACUAUAAUAGAAACAAAGAAUGCAUAUUUCUUUGAAACAUAUUUCCUAUGAAACUAAAUGGUGAAAUACAAGUUGAGAAAAUAAGUAGAGACAAGUUUAUUGAACCUUUUGAAUUUGAACUUAGAAGGAGUAAAAGAGAUAGGAAAUAAACAAACCUUGGAGAUGGUUUAUACACCUUCCUAAUAGAUGAUGACCUUAGAUCCUACAAAGAAGCUAUAACUUCUCUUGAUGCACCAUUCUAGAAGGAGGCCAUUAACAAUGAAAUCGAAUCAAUCAUGUAUAACCAUACAUGGAAGUUAGUAUAUUUACCUCUUGGUGCAAAGACUAUUGGUUGUAAAUGGAUCUUUAAAAGAAAGUUAAAACAAGAUGGGCUCAUAGAAGUAUAAAGAUUGUUUAGUUGCCAAAGACUUUAAACAAAGGAAGAAUGUAGAUUACUUUGACACAUUUACCCCUAUGACUAGAAUAACAUCAAUUAGAGUAUUGAUCGCUCUAGCUUCCAUUCAUAAUUUGGUGAUACACCAAAUGGAUGUCAAGACUGCAUUCUUGAAUGGGUAUUUGGAAGAAGAAUUUUAUAUGGAUCAACCUAAGGGUUGUGUAGUUCCAGAGAAGAAGAAAAAGGUGUGUAAGUUGGUUAAAUCAUUAUAUGGGUUAAAACAAGCUCCCAAACAAUGGCACAACAAGUUUGAUCAUGUGUUUGUAACUAAUGGAUAUUCCAUUAAUGAUACUGAUAAGUGUAUCUAUAGCAAGUAUGAGGAUAACACAUAUGUAGUCAUCUACCUUUAUGUUGAUGACAUGUUGAUCUUUGGAACUAGCCUAGAGGUUCUGUGUGAGACCAAGAAAUUCCUAGGUUCUAAGUUUGAUAUGAAAGACCUAGGAGAGUUAGAGGUGAUUCUAGGAAUUACAAUAACUAGAACACCUAAUGGGUUUAAAUUCUCUCAAGAGCAUUAUGUUGAAAAUAUCCUAAGGAAGUUUGAACACUUUGAUUGUAAACUAGUGUCAACUUCUUAUGAUCCUAGCUCACAGCUGAAGAAAAAUAGAGAACAUAGAUUUGCCUAAAUAGAGUAUGCUCAUAUCAUAGGGAAUCUAAUGUACUUAAUGAACUGUACCAGACCUGACAUUGCUUAUGCAAUAGGUAGAUUAAGUCAGUACACCCAAAGUCCUAAUCAGAACCAUUGGAUUAUUGUUCGUAGAGGCCUUAAGUAUUUGAGAGGCACCUUUAACUAUGGUUUGUGCUUUAGUGGAUUUCCAAGUGUCCUUAAAGGAUUUAGGAUUAGAUGAAAUCCACUAUUGGAUAUGUUUUCAUCCUUGGUGGAAGUGUAGUUUCUUGGAAGUCUGCCAAACAAACUUGCAUUACUCGAUCUACUAUGGAGGCUGAGUUUAUUGCCUUAGAAAACAAAAGUUCUGAGGCUGAGUGGCUUAGAAACUUCUUAGCAGAUAUUCCUCUAUGGAUGAAACCAAUCCCGUCUGUGUCUAUGCAUUGUGAUAGUCAAGCUACAAUUGCUAAGGCUAAGAGUAAAAUAUUUAAUGGGAAGAACAGGCAUAUACGACUAAGGCACAAUAUUGUCUGACAACUGCUUGAAAUAGAGGUUAUAUCCCUAGAAUUUGUGAGGUCAGAGUUGAAUUUGGUCGAUCCUUUGACCAAACCACUAAAUAAGAAACUAGUGGAAGAAACAUCGAGGAGGAUGAGGCUUAUGCCUAUUACAGAACUCAAGAGUGGUGGUAACCCAACCUAUUAGAAUGGAAAAGUCCAUGAAAUAGGUUCAUAUGGGUAAUAACAAAUCACUUGUUGACUUGAGGUGCUCUAUCAACUCUAAUUGUAUGAAAGUUUAUCCCUAUGGUGUAGAUAGAGUGUAUUCUGCAUUGAUUAAGGUUGAGUGUUUACUCUUAAUGAAUACCAUAUUCCUUAUGGAUGGUAUGUUUAAUGUAGAACAUACUUGAUGGAUUCACCUAUAUGAGAGUGGAGGUGGAGCCACUUCCUAUGAGAACUUAGGUAGAUUCUCUGGAGCUCUCAUGAAUAUCCAAGCAGAGCACAUGACCUAUUUGUGCUAACCCGUUCUGUUCAACUCGUAGUGAAGUUGAGAAAACCAAUGUGGAUAAAAGUCCCUUGAGUUACAUCAAGAAACACUGGCUCAUAGAAAUUUAUUUUCACUCUGUUUUGUGAUUUAAUACUUAUUUGUCCUAAGACUAGUUCAUAGCCUUUGGGCACCAGUACUGAUGCAUUGGAUUCUUUUUUCCUCAAAAAAAAAAAAAAAAAUCACAUUUACACUCUGUGGGGAACUGUAGAAAGAGUGUAAAUAAUUUUUAUUUUUAUUUUAUUUUAUUUUAUUUUAUUUUAUUCUAUUAAUCUUAUAUUUUUUAGAAGAAUCCUAUUGGGAAUUAUUUUUAUUUUAUUUUAUUCUAUUAGUCUUUUAUUUUUUGGAAGAGUCCUAUUGGGAUUGUGCUAGUGAAGUCUCAUUUCUUUUAUAAGUAGAAUCCUCUUCCACUUUGAGUCAUGUUCUAAUUACAAGUAGAGUCCCAUUGAGAUUGUUUUAGUAGCCUAUAAAAGCAGCUCACCCCUCACUCUCUAAAUACGAACACCAAUUUUUCAGAGAAUUUUUUAGAGAGUUUUUCAGAGUCUUUUCAUACAUCUACCUGGAGGAAUUUUUUUCAAUGUACACAUCUUGCUUACAAAGUGUACCCAAGGCAAGAUUUGGUUGUUGAAUCUUGGAGGUAGACCACUAGUACCCUAGUGCAUCGAGUUCUUAUUCGAGGAGGGUGGAUUUAUUUCAAGGACAAUGUUUAUCACGCCUCAGCCAAUAAGUUUUUCUUCUUAUUAAUUCUGUUCUUUGUUUGUGUCUUUUAGGCUAGUCAUUUGUUUCCAUACCCUUAACUCCAACAAUGCACACAUACAAAUACAUGCUCCCAUAGCUUCAUUUCCAAAUUGAAAGUCACCAAAUACCACUUCUCCUCAUAAUAGAUUUUGAUGCCACUUGUUCAGAAACUCCACUGUCAUCUCGGAGUUUCUCCAAUUAUGUUUAUAUAAGUGUGUGUAUAUAUGUGCGCAUGCGCAUAUGUUUAUGUUCUGUGAGUAGAUGAGCACACUCAUCCUGAUUGAAUUGCCCACUUAUGAAUGUGAAUUUUCUUAUAGGAAUUGGCUACUCACUUGAUCCAGAUUUCUCCUUUGUGAAGAUUGUUGCACCUCAUGCACAGGUUCCAUUCAUUUCCAUAAUAAUUUUAUGCAUUUUUUUUCCUCAUAUACUUCUCUAAUGCUUUUAGUUUAGCUCUACUGAUUCACACUGUAUAUAGGAGCUUUUAGAUAUACGACAGCAACGACGAACUGGACCAUAACUUGUGCAGGAGAUAAGGAAACAAGCAGACGAUGUAUUCUACUCUCUUCCCUUCUCACUUCAGUUCCUUCUGAAAAUUGAUGUUUCUUCAUUUCACAUUCUACGACACAACUAUGAUACACACUAUCAAAAGACUAAAAUUUCCCCAUAUGAACAUGUUUAGGCCAGAACCUACAUCAUGUCAUUGCCAUCCAUACAGUGUUCAGAGAAUAGAAGAAUUUGUGAAACAACUUGAAUUAAGAGACCUGAAACUUCGAGUUCGAGUACUUGAGGUAGCUCAUCCACUAAAUAUUUUAGAAGAAAUAAUUACCAUUUUUGAGACUUUGUGGGAAGUUCUGAAGAGUGACUAUUCUUGAGAGCUCAAACCCUCAUGAGAUGAACUCAACAUUAUUUUGGUUUGGGAUUGAAAAUUGUCUGAAAGACCAGCUCGGAAGGCAACCAUACUACAGAUGGCUACUAUUAGCCCCUUAGCCCCUUAACUCAAUUUUGGAGGAAUAGAGCCUAGACUGAGAGUAAGGAUGGCCUAAAGGUUUGGUGGUUCAAACCCUAGAAGCUAAGAUGAGAAGGCCAUGUGCUAGCCAGACGCGCACCACGGGCGAGCCAGACGUGCAUCGUGGGUGAGCUAGAUGCGCACCGCGAGCAAGCCAAACGUGCACCAUGGGUGAGCCAGACAGGCACUAAGCAGGCACCACUUGCGCACCAGGCAAGUACUAUGCGUACACUAGGCAUAUGUUGGUUAUGGAGCUGGUGUAGAUAAAGGGUGAGGUUCAUUUUGGAAUGUAAUUUAUAAUUAUUUAAAUAUCCCAUUAUGUCUCCUCAAACAUGGGUGAUGUCUCUUCCAAAAAUUUUGAAAAUGGCAUGUAUUGCUCUUGAAGUGGGGGAGGGGGGUAGGUGACUCGAGGGGGCACCAUGGGAAAGCCUUAACCGCGCCAAGGGAGCACCAUGACAUGACCUUGGCCGUGCCUAGGACACACGAAUGGCACUCAAGCAUUCACACAUGGGCUCCAUGACAUGUGUGGUGUGCACCCCGUGGCCGCAACGACACGGCACAGGCACGAGGGCGCCUAAGCCUUGUGCAAUGAGACAGCUAAGGAAGCCAUGGGCACAAUGCCAUGGUCUAAUGGGGUACUAGAAUGUGCAGCUGAUUCGAUGGGGCCUACGCAUGGCACAACGACACAAUGCCCUGUGCACUAAGAAUGAACAACCAUGGCCGCAAUGCCAUGGCUCGUUGCUAUGGAGUUGGACUUGAUAAUGGGAGCUAAACAUGUGCCUAGGCCAUGGGCACCUCGACAUGGCAUGGGUUAACACAUUAGUGUGGGGAAGACAUACUAAGGCACUAGGCAGCUGAGGCACCUGGUCAGCUAGGUGGUACAUGCGGCUGGUCAAGAGGGCAGCUAGCUAGUGCAACUAACUAGUGACAACUAGUUGGGGCAACAAGUGAUCAGGUCAACAGUUAGCUACAAUGGAUAGGCAGAUGGUUGAGGACUGAUGGUUGGUGCAAAGAGACACAUUGGGCUGAAGGAGUGUCUCUAGCUGGGUAGCUCCAUGAAAAGCUCACCAGUUGGGUGGUUAUGCAAGCAGUUGUGGCCGGUUGUGGCCAGUUGCAUAACCACCAAACUGGUUUCAUGGGUUUUGAACUUUGAAAUUUGAAUUGUAACUUGCAGGCAUGUCUUUUAAAAGGGGGCCUCUUGCAUCCUUGAGACAGAGAUGAUAGAUAAGGAUGGUUCUCUGAAUGCUUAGGGGUGUAAGCAUUGUACUCUGACUUAGGGAAAACGAUUUUGUAUCUUGUAGUGAGUGAAAAAAUACAAGUUGGGAAGGGUUCUCGUAAUUGUAAUUGUCUGUUACUCUAUUUUUCUAAAGACUGGGAAGGAAGGUUGGCUAAGGAAGGGUACUUAGCACCGCACACUUAGUGAAAAAAAUUUAUUAAUAUUCUAGGGUGUGACCACUACCAUGUAUACAGUUUUUGGAGGUACCCUACUAAACCUUGGCAUCACAUUAGCCAAUCAAGGCAGUCAAGUUAUUUCAAAUGGAUCGUAUGUUGGUGUAGGUAAACUGUUUUUAACCCCGAAAACUUUCACACUCAAAUAUUUCUUCCUCUUGCCUCUAGACAUUUUCAAGUUUGCCUUCAUCAACUUCCCUGUGGCUGAAAUAUCUAGUUUUGUUAAAAUGCAUGCGUUUUCUUGAUAUUGUUUAUUAGGUCCAUGAAAAGAGUGAAAAGAUAGAUAAAUUUGAGAAGAUAAUAUGAUUUUCAAUCCUAGAACUCAUGGACAGUCUGUUUUAGUUGUAAAAUAAUUUAACCUCCGAUUCUUGGUAAUAUAAUUGUCCUAAAAUUUUCAAACUUGCAUAUAAGAGCUCUAUACACUACACGUAGGAAAUGAUUCAAGAUGAAAAAAAUCUAUGCAACAGAAAUCCAGAUCU
Molecule: long non-coding RNA, 35783 nt
Filed under: Vitis vinifera (wine grape)
Lineage: Eukaryota; Viridiplantae; Streptophyta; Magnoliopsida; Vitales; Vitaceae
Description: long non-coding RNA (VVIN_LNC003779)
Source: RNAcentral